UAGGGAAUCUUCCACAAUGGACGCAAGUCUGAUGGAGCAACGCCGCGUGAGUGAAGAAGGUUUUCGGACCGUAAAGCUCUGUUGUUGGUGAAGAAGGAUAGAGGUAGUAACUGGCCUUUAUUUGACGGUAAUCAACCAGAAAGUCACGGCUAACUACGUGCCAGCAGCCGCGGUAAUACGUAGGCGGCAAGCGUUGUCCGGAUUUAUUGGGCGUAAAGCGAGCGCAGGCGGAAGAAUAAGUCUGAUGUGAAAGCCCUCGGCUUAACCGAGGAAUUGCAUCGGAAACUGUUUUUCUUGAGUGCAGAAGAGGAGAGUAGAACUCCAUGUGUAGCGGUGGAAUGCGUAGAUAUAUGGAAGAAUACCAGUGGCGAAGGCGGCUCUCUGGUCUGCAACUGACGCUGAGGCUCGAAAGCAUGGGUAGCGGACAGGAUUAGAUACCCUGGUAGUCCAUGCCGUAAACGAUGAGUGCUAAGUGUUGGGAGGCUUCCGCCUCUCAGUGCUGCAGCUAACGCAUUAAGCACUCCGCCUGGGGGAGUACGACCGCAAGGUUGAAAC
RNAcentral lists this ribosomal RNA (555 nucleotides) under uncultured bacterium. Its description in RNAcentral is "partial 16S ribosomal RNA". It matches the Rfam family "Bacterial small subunit ribosomal RNA", at positions 355 to 900 of the family's 1533-position model. The record is from RNAcentral.